Molecule: long non-coding RNA, 720 nt
Organism: Drosophila navojoa
Lineage: Eukaryota; Metazoa; Arthropoda; Insecta; Diptera; Drosophilidae
Source: RefSeq, a predicted model, not a curated record
UAUAAAACUUUAUUAACACUAAGUACUUACACACGCACACUAACACACUUGCACACACACGCAUACAGUGGGCGAGCAGCAUAAACAACGUAGCACAUUUGAAAUGACCAUAAAACACAAACAAAACAGUAGCCAAGAACAACAAUAACAGAGACGAGAGGAACAUGGCAAGUUGAAUGUCCUGCAGCGAGCGGCUUCUUCCACCCAGCAAAACUUCAAGUGUUUCGACAACAACAACAACAACAGCAACAGAAGUUGUUGCGGGUGCGUGGCGACUGUGAAGGAAGUGAGUGAAGAACGAGAAAAAAAACUGGCACAAAGUGCACAAAACGUACUUAGAACAUCUUUAAGUUCAACAUAAAAAACUUGGCCAAACAUAAAUCCCAACAUCACAAAAACAAACGCAGCACACUUUGCUCGCAGGCAUAGCAACAGCUCACACUGGAGACCAUAUUAAGACUGAUUUUGGCCGCUGGGCAGCUGGCCAGCAUAUUUAGGCGAUUAUUUAUGGCCAAUGGCGACGACGAGGAAUUCGACACUCGGCGCGACUUGCUGGCAAUCGCAGAGACACAAAUACGGAUGGCUGGGUACGAGUAGGAGUGUAUGUGUGUGUGUGUGUGUGUGUGUGUGGGUGGGCAGCAAACAAGCGCAAACAUGAGCAGAUCGAGCUGUACCACUUGCCAACUGUCUGCUGUUUAUUGACGGCACAGCAACAACAAC